ACGGCUCAGUAACACGUGGACAAUCUAACCUACGGAGGGGGAUAACCCCGGGAAACUGGGGAUAAUACCCCAUAGACUAUAGAUGCUGGAAUGCUUUGUAGUCGAAAGGUCCGCCGCCGUAGGAUGGGUCUGCGGCCGAUUAGGUUGUUGUUGGGGUAACGGCCCAACAAGCCUGUAAUCGGUACGGGUUGUGGGAGCAAGAGCCCGGAGAUGGAUUCUGAGACACGAAUCCAGGCCCUACGGGGCGCAGCAGGCGCGAAAACUUUGCAAUGCGGGAAACCGUGACAGGGGAACUCCGAGUGCCCGUUAAAUCGGGCUGUCCAUCGGUUUAAAUAACCGGUGAAGAAAGGGCCGGGCAAGACCGGUGCCAGCCGCCGCGGUAAUACCGGCGGCUCGAGUGGUGGCCACUAUUACUGGGCUUAAAGCGUUCGUAGCUGGUUUGUUAAGUCUCUGGGGAAAUCUUCCGGCUCAACCGGAAGGCGUCUCAGGGAUACUGGCAGACUAGGGACCGGGAGAGGUGAGGGGUACUCCAGGGGUAGGAGUGAAAUCCUGUAAUCCUUGGGGGACCACCUGUGGCGAAGGCGCCUCACCAGAACGGCUCCGACAGUGAGGGACGAAAGCUGGGGGAGCAAACCGGAUUAGAUACCCGGGUAGUCCCAGCUGUAAACGAUGCGCGUUAGGUGUAUCGGUGACCACGAGUCACCGAGGUGCCGAAGAGAAAUCGUGAAACGUGCCGCCUGGGAAGUACGGUCGCAAGGCUGAAACUUAAAGGAAUUGGCGGGGGAGCAC
RNAcentral lists this ribosomal RNA (789 nucleotides) under uncultured Methanomicrobiaceae archaeon. RNAcentral describes it as "bacterial SSU rRNA". It matches the Rfam family "Archaeal small subunit ribosomal RNA", at positions 85 to 879 of the family's 1478-position model. Lineage: Archaea; Methanobacteriati; Methanobacteriota; Methanomicrobia; Methanomicrobiales; Methanomicrobiaceae. The record is from RNAcentral.